RNAcentral lists this ribosomal RNA (915 nucleotides) under uncultured archaeon. RNAcentral describes it as "bacterial SSU rRNA". It matches the Rfam family "Archaeal small subunit ribosomal RNA", at positions 1 to 922 of the family's 1478-position model. The record is from RNAcentral.
UUCUGGUUGAUCCUGCCAGAGGCUACCGCUAUUGGAGUUCGAUUAAGCCAUGCGAGUCGCGAGUUCUAGGGACUCGGCGUACCGCUCAGUAACACGUGGGUAACCUGCCCUAUGCAGGGGGAUAACCUCGGGAAACUGAGAAUAAUACCCCAUAGUUCACUACGCCUGGAACGGUGAGUGGAUGAAAGCUCCGGCGGCAUAGGAUGGGCCUGCGGCGUAUCAGGUUGUAGGGGGUGUAACGUACCCUCUAGCCCUCUACGCGUACGGGUGUUGGGAGACAUAGCCCGGAGAUGGAUUCUGAGACACGAAUCCAGACCCUACGGGGUGCAGCAGGCGCGAAAACUUGACAAUGCGAGAAAUCGUGAUCAGGGAACUCCAAGUGGCUGGGGUAAGACCCAGUCUUUUCUUGACUCUGCAAAGGUCUUGGAAUAAGGGGUGGGUAAGGACGGUGCCAGCCGCCGCGGUAAUACCGGCGCCUCAAGUGGUAGUCGCUUUUAUUGGGCCUAAAACGUCCGUAGCCGGUCUGAUACAUUCGUGGGUAAAUCAACUAGCUCAACUAGUUGAAUUCUGCGAGGACGGUCAGACUUGGGACCGGGAGAGGUGUGGGGUACGCUCAGGGUAGGGGUAAAAUCCUGUCAUCCUAAGCGGACCACCUGUUGCGAAGGCGCCACACUAGAACGGAUCCGACGGUCAGGGACGAAGCCUAGGGGCACGAACCGGAUUAGAUACCCGGGUAGUCCUAGGUGUAAACGCUGUGGACUUGAUGUUGGGGGCGCUCCGAGCGCUUCCAGUGUCGAAGCGAAGGUGAUAAGUCCACUGCCUGGGAAGUACGGUCGCAAGGCUGAAACUUAAAGGAAUUGGCGGGGGAGCACCGCAACCUGAGGAUUGUGCGGUUUAAUUGGAGUCAACGCCGGG